Suncus etruscus (white-toothed pygmy shrew) is the source of this 163-nucleotide small nuclear RNA. RefSeq annotates it as U1 spliceosomal RNA. Lineage: Eukaryota; Metazoa; Chordata; Mammalia; Eulipotyphla; Soricidae. The record is from RefSeq and is a predicted model, not a curated record. The transcript has a single exon.
UAAGAAACCUGGCAGAGGAGAUAACAUGAUCAGGAAGGCGGUUUUUCCAGGACGACACAUACCUAAUGCACACCGGUUGUGCUGACCCCUGUGAUUUCCCCAAAUAUGUAAAACUCGACUGCAUAUGUGUGUUAGUAGAAGAUACCAUUUGUACUCUCCCUUA